AUUGAACGCUGGCGGAAUGCUUUACACAUGCAAGUCGAGCGGCAGCGCGGGGCAACCUGGCGGCGAGCGGCGAACGGGUGAGUAAUGCAUCGGAACAUGUCCAUGUCGUGGGGGAUAGCCCGGCGAAAGCCGGAUUAAUACCGCAUACGCCCGAGAGGGGAAAGCCGGGGACCGCAAGGCCUGGCGCGAUUGGGUUGGCCGAUGUCCGAUUAGCUAGUUGGCGGAGUAAAAGCCCACCAAGGCGACGAUCAGUAGCUGGUCUGAGAGGACGACCAGCCACACUGGGACUGAGACACGGCCCAGACUCCUACGGGAGGCAGCAGUGGGGAAUUUUGGACAAUGGGCGCAACCCUGAUCCAGCCAUGCCGCGUGCGGGAAGAAGGCCUUCGGGUUGUAAACCGCUUUUGGCAGGAACGAAACGGCGCGAGCGAAUAUCUCGCGUUAAUGACGGUACCUGCAGAAUAAGCACCGGCUAACUACGUGC
This 484-nucleotide ribosomal RNA is filed under the name uncultured bacterium. RNAcentral's name for it is "bacterial SSU rRNA". It matches the Rfam family "Bacterial small subunit ribosomal RNA", at positions 29 to 508 of the family's 1533-position model. The record is from RNAcentral.